This 488-nucleotide ribosomal RNA is filed under the name uncultured bacterium. RNAcentral's name for it is "bacterial SSU rRNA". It matches the Rfam family "Bacterial small subunit ribosomal RNA", at positions 28 to 517 of the family's 1533-position model. The record is from RNAcentral.
GAUGAACGCUAGCGGCAGGCUUAACACAUGCAAGUCGAGGGGUAUAGUUCUUCGGAACUAGAGACCGGCGCACGGGUGCGUAACGCGUAUGCAAUCUACCUUUUGCAGAGGGAUAGCCCAGAGAAAUUUGGAUUAAUACCUCAUAGUAUGUGAGAAUGGCAUCAUUUUCACAUUAAAGUCACAACGGCAAAAGAUGAGCAUGCGUCCCAUUAGCUUGUUGGUAAGGUAACGGCUUACCAAGGCUACGAUGGGUAGGGGUCCUGAGAGGGAGAUCCCCCACACUGGUACUGAGACACGGACCAGACUCCUACGGGAGGCAGCAGUGAGGAAUAUUGGACAAUGGGCGCAAGCCUGAUCCAGCCAUGCCGCGUGCAGGAUGACGGUCCUAUGGAUUGUAAACUGCUUUUGUACAGGAAGAAACACUGGUUCGUGAACCAGCUUGACGGUACUGUAAGAAUAAGGAUCGGCUAACUCCGUGCCAGCAGCCG